RNAcentral lists this ribosomal RNA (468 nucleotides) under uncultured bacterium. RNAcentral's name for it is "partial 16S ribosomal RNA". It matches the Rfam family "Bacterial small subunit ribosomal RNA", at positions 28 to 507 of the family's 1533-position model. The record is from RNAcentral.
GACGAACGCUGGCGGCGUGCUUAACACAUGCCAGUCGAACGGAAAGGCCCUGCUUUUGUGGCUUGCUCGAGAGGCGCACGGGGGAGUAACACGUGAGGAACCUGUACCUGACUAUCGGAUAACUUCAGGAAACUGGGGCGCAUACCGGAUAGGAGCUCCUGCUCCAUGGUGGGGGUUGGAAAGUUUCGGCGGUUGGGGAUGGACUCGCGGCUUAUCGGCUUGUUGGUGUGGUAGUGGCUUACCAAGGCUUUGACGGGUAGCCGGCCUGAGAGGGUGACCGGCCACGUGACGACUGAGAUACGGCCCAGUCUCCAAUCGGACGCAACGGUGGAGAGUAUUACACAGUAGGCGGGAGCCAGAUGUGACGACGCCGCGUGCGGGAAGACGUGCUUCGAGUUGUAAACCAAUGUCGCCUGUGAUGAGGAGUGAGUGACGGUAAUGGAUAAGAAAGCACCGGCUAACUACGUG